Panicum virgatum (switchgrass) is the source of this 586-nucleotide long non-coding RNA. RefSeq lists it as uncharacterized. The record is from RefSeq and is a predicted model, not a curated record. Lineage: Eukaryota; Viridiplantae; Streptophyta; Magnoliopsida; Poales; Poaceae. The transcript has 3 exons.
AUUACCGACAAAAUGCCAUUGUGCUGGGCUGCUGGCCCUUGGCCGAGGGGCCCGCUAAGGCCAGUUCGUUGAACAGCUCUUGCGCAUUUCGUCGAACAGCUCGUCGGCGAGGCGCCCCACACGGCGUGGAUCGCCCCCAGGCGGGGAGCCCCAGCUGCCGGUGCGCUGAGUGAAUUGCAGUGAACUUUACCUGUCCCAAUGCAUAUGGCAAAGGCGAGUACAUGUGAGCUGCCCUUUCCCUGUAAAAGACUGUCCGCUCAACUGAUACAACUGGCUGAACUGAACCAGAAUUCUGUACUCCCAUGAAAAUAACCGAGGCAUACAUGGAGCCCAUGGCAUUGAACAAAUCCUGUUGAUUAUCCCUGCAAGAGUACAAUAGCUUCAGUCUACUGCAUGCAAGCAAAACACUGUGUGAGGAAGGUCUGCGAGUAUUCCGUUGGAAAGGAUAGGUCAGUUGAACCUUCAGGAGGUGUGCUUAACUCCUUUAUUAAAGUUCUGUUCCUCCUGAAAAUGCAAGAACAUGACAAUAUUAAUGAUGGGCUGAGACAUUGUUUGGCAACGAACUAUCUUUUCGUUGAAUAGAAAA